This 148-nucleotide non-coding RNA is filed under the name Homo sapiens (human). The record is from Rfam by way of RNAcentral. Lineage: Eukaryota; Metazoa; Chordata; Mammalia; Primates; Hominidae.
GCCGGGUGUGAUGGCACACACCUGUAAUCCCAGCUACUUGGGACGCUGAGGCAGGAGAAUUGCUUGAACCCGGGAGUCGGAGGUUGCAGUGAGCCAAGAUCAUGCCACUGCACUCCAGCCUGGGUGACAGAGCAAGACUCUGUCUCAA